UACGUAGGGGGCAAGCGUUGUCCGGAUUUAUUGGGCGUAAAGAGCGUGUAGGCGGCUUUACAGGUCCGUUGUGAAAACUCGAGGCUCAACCUCGAGACGCCGGUGGAAACCGUAAGGCUAGAGUCCGGAAGAGGAGAGUGGAACUCCUGGUGUAGCGGUGGAAUGCGCAGAUAUCAGGAAGAACACCAACGGCGAAGGCAGCUCGCUGGGACGGUACUGACGCUGAGACGCGAAAGCGUGGGGAGCGAACAGG
Molecule: ribosomal RNA, 253 nt
Filed under: uncultured bacterium
Lineage: Bacteria
Description: partial 16S ribosomal RNA
Rfam family: Bacterial small subunit ribosomal RNA
Source: RNAcentral